GCUGUUUUCGGGUGGAUGACGUUGCAAUUUUAGCAAUCCUUUGGGGAAAAAAAAUUGCACGGUAUCCAUCUGUAAUCCGCC
Molecule: microRNA precursor, 81 nt
Organism: Lepisosteus oculatus (spotted gar)
Lineage: Eukaryota; Metazoa; Chordata; Actinopteri; Semionotiformes; Lepisosteidae
Rfam family: mir-363 microRNA precursor family
Source: Rfam